UUAAGUAAGGAAGGGCGUACGGCGAAUGCCUUGCCACUCGAAACUGAAGAAGGACGCGCCAAACUGCGAAAAGCUCCGUGAAGCUGUAAGGAAGCGAAGAAGCGGAGGUGUCCGAAUGGGGGAACCCGGCAGCAGACAUGAGCUGUCAUCUGCAGGUGAAUACAUGGCCUGCAAGAGAGGUACCCGGCGAACUGAAACAUCUAAGUAGCCGGAGGAAAAGAAAACAACAGUGAUUCCCUGAGUAGCGGCGAGCGAAAGGGGAGAAGCCCAAACCGGUUGAAGGACCGGGGUUGAAGGACCAUGAUAUGGCAAGAACGAGGAUAGGAGAACGGGAUCGAAAGCCCGGCCGAAGAAGGUGAAAGCCCUGUAACCGAAAUCCAAGGGAGGCCUAAUGGGAUCCUGAGUACGGCGAGACACGAGAAAUCUUGUCGGAAGCAGGCGGGACCAUCCGCCAAGGCUAAAUAUAAACGAGUGAGCGAUAGUGAACCAGUACCGUGAGGGAAAGGUGAAAAGAACCGCGGGAGCGGAGUGAAAGAGAACCUGAAACCGUAUGCCUACAAGAAGUCAGAGCCCGUUAAGGGGUGAUGGCGUGCCUUUUGUAGAAUGAACCGGCGAGUUGCGACAGACUGCGAGGUUAAGGAGGAAAGACCGGAGCCGAAGCGAAAGCGAGUCUUAAGAGGGCGAAAGUAGGAUGUUGCAGACCCGAAACCGGGUGAUCUAGCCAUGAGCAGGUUGAAGUUGAGGUGAAACUCAAUGGAGGACCGAACCGACUACCGUUGAAAAGUUAGCGGAUGACUUGUGGCUAGGGGAGAAAUUCCAAUCGAACCCGGAGAUAGCUGGUUCUCCCCGAAAUAGCUUUAGGGCUAGCGUCGGAAAGAACCUUAGUGAAGGUAGAGCACUGAAUGUGUGAUGGCCCCAUCCCGGGGUACUGAAUACAAUCAAACUGCGAAUGUCAUUAAGGAUGUCCGGCAGUCAGACUGUGAGUGAUAAGGUCCAUGGUCAAGAGGGAAACAGCCCAGACCGCCAGUUAAGGUCCCAAAAUACAGGCUAAGUGGAAAAGGAUGUGGGGAUGCCCAGACAACUAGGAGGUUGGCUCAGAAGCAGCCAUCCUUUAAAGAGUGCGUAACAGCUCACUAGUCGAGUGACCCUGCGCCGAAAAUGUACCGGGGCUAAGCCUGAUACCGAAACUGCGGAUUGUAGGAAACUAUAGUGGUAGGGGAGCGUUGUAUACGAGCAGAAGCCGUACCGUGAGGAGCGGUGGAUUGUAUAGAAGUGAGAAUGCCGGUGUGAGUAGCGAGAUGUAGGUGAGAAUCCUACACACCGAAAGCCCAAGGAUUCCAGGGGAAGGUUCGUCCGCCCUGGGUAAGUCGGGACCUAACGCGAGGCCGAAAGGCGUAGUGGAUGGAAAGCAGGCGAAAGAUUCCUGCACCCGUAUAUGGAGCGAAGGAGUGACGGAGACGGAUAGUGUGACCCUCUUAAUGGAUUGAGGGCGAAGCGAAGCGGCUGGUUACCAGGCAAAUCCGGUAACCUUAAGGCUAGAGCGUGACAGGUAAGCGAAAUCUUAGGAAAGUAGCGAAGCACAUGAUGACGGCUUCCAGGAAAAGCUUCUGGCAAUGCAUAUGCGGCCCGUACCAAAACCGACACAGGUGGGCAGGGAGAGAAUCCCGAGGUGAGCGAGAGAACUGUUGCCAAGGAACUCGGCAAAAUGACUCCGUAAGUUAGCGAGAAGGAGUGCUUAAGCAAUUAAGCCGCAGUGAAGAGGCCCAAGCGACUGUUUAACUAAAACACAGCUCUCUGCGAAGUCGCAAGACGAAGUAUAGGGGGUGACACCUGCCCGGUGCUGGAAGGUUAAGAGGAUCUGUUAAGAGCGAUCUGAAGCAGUGAUCCGAAGCCCCAGUGAACGGCGGCCGUAACUAUAACGGUCCUAAGGUAGCGAAAUUCCUUGUCAGGUAAGUUCUGACCCGCACGAAAGGUGUAACGAUUUGGGCGCUGUCUCGGCAGCAGACUCGGUGAAAUCUUAGUACCUGUGAAAAUGCAGGUUACCCGCAACUAGACGGAAAGACCCCAUGGAGCUUUACUGCAGCCUGAUAUUGAAUUCUGGUCAUACAUGUACAGGAUAGGUGGGAGACAAAGAGACGUGCACGCCAGUGUACGAGGAGUCGGCGUUGGGAUACCACUCUUGUGUGACCGGGGUUCUAACCUGGUAUCGAGAACAGGUACGGGGAGAGUGUCAGGUGGGCAGUUUGACUGGGGCGGUCGCCUCCCAAAGAGUAACGGAGGCGCCCAAAGGUACGCUCAGAUUGGAUGGAAACCAAUCGACGAGUGCAAUUGCAGAAGCGUGCUUGACUGUGAGACAGACAAGUCGAACAGGGACGAAAGUCGGGAAUAGUGAUCCGGCGGUGCCGAAUGGAAGGGCCGUCGCUCAACGGAUAAAAGCUACCCUGGGGAUAACAGGCUGAUCUCGCCCAAGAGUUCACAUCGACGGCGAGGUUUGGCACCUCGAUGUCGGCUCAUCGCAUCCUGGAGCUGGAUUCGGUUCCAAGGGUUGGGCUGUCCGCCCAUUAAAGCGGUACGCGAGCUGGGUUCAGAACGUCGUGAGACAGUUCGGUCCCUAUCUGUUGUGGGCGAAGGAGAUCUGCGGAGAGCUGUCCUCAGUACGAGAGGACCGGGAUGGACCUACCGCUGGUGCACCGGUUGUUCCGCCAGGGGCAUAGCCGGGUAGCUAAGUAGGGAAAGGAUAAGCGCUGAAAGCAUCUAAGCACGAAGCCUACUCCAAGAUGAGAUCUCCCAUUCGCAAGAAGUAAGACCCCUUAAAGACGAUAAGGUAGAUAGGCCAGGGAUGGAAGUGCAGUGAUGUACGGAGUUGACUGGUACUAAUCGGUCGAGGACUUAAUCAG
RNAcentral lists this ribosomal RNA (2897 nucleotides) under human gut metagenome. RNAcentral's name for it is "bacterial LSU rRNA". It matches the Rfam family "Bacterial large subunit ribosomal RNA". The record is from RNAcentral.